RNAcentral lists this ribosomal RNA (499 nucleotides) under uncultured bacterium. Its description in RNAcentral is "partial 16S ribosomal RNA". It matches the Rfam family "Bacterial small subunit ribosomal RNA", at positions 28 to 507 of the family's 1533-position model. The record is from RNAcentral.
GACGAACGCUGGCGGCGUGCCUAAUAUAUGCAAGUCGAGCGAAGUUUUUCUGGUGCUUGCACUAGAAAAACUUAGCGGCGAACGGGUGAGUAACACGUAAAGAACCUGCCUCAUAGACUGGGACAACUAUUGGAAACGAUAGCUAAUACCGGAUAACAGUAUUUCUCGCAUGAGAGAUAUUUAAAAGUUGGUUAUGCUAACACUAUGAGAUGGCUUUGCGGUGCAUUAGCUAGUUGGUGGGGUAAAGGCCCACCAAGGCGACGAUGCAUAGCCGACCUGAGAGGGUGAUCGGCCACACUGGGACUGAGACACGGCCCAGACUCCUACGGGAGGCAGCAGUAGGGAAUCUUCCGCAAUGGGCGAAAGCCUGACGGAGCAACGCCGCGUGAGUGAAGAAGGAUUUCGGUUCGUAAAGCUCUGUUGUUAGGGAAGAAUGGAUAUGUAGUAACUAUACAUGUAAGAGACGGUACCUAACCAGAAAGCCACGGCUAACUACGUG